UACGUAGGGGGCUAGCGUUGUCCGGAUUUAUUGGGCGUAAAGAGCUCGUAGGCGGCCACUCAAGUCGAAUGUGAAACCUCGAGGCUUAACCUCGAGCCUGCAUUCGAUACUGGGCGGCUAGAGUCUGGUAGGGGGAUCUGGAAUUCCUGGUGUAGCGGUGGAAUGCGCAGAUAUCAGGAGGAACACCGGUGGCGAAGGCGGGAUCCUGGGCCAGUACUGACGCUGAGGAGCGAAAGCCGGGGGAGCGAACGGG
RNAcentral lists this ribosomal RNA (253 nucleotides) under uncultured bacterium. RNAcentral's name for it is "partial 16S ribosomal RNA". It matches the Rfam family "Bacterial small subunit ribosomal RNA", at positions 524 to 776 of the family's 1533-position model. The record is from RNAcentral.